This 253-nucleotide ribosomal RNA is filed under the name uncultured bacterium. Its description in RNAcentral is "partial 16S ribosomal RNA". It matches the Rfam family "Bacterial small subunit ribosomal RNA", at positions 524 to 776 of the family's 1533-position model. The record is from RNAcentral.
UACGAAGGGGGCGAGCGUUGUUCGGAUUUAUUGGGCGUAAAGAGCGUGUAGGCGGCCAGGUAGGUCUGGUGUGAAAACUCGAGGCUUAACCUCGAGAUGUCAUCGGAAACCAUCUGGCUAGAGUCCGGAAGAGGAGAGUGGAAUUCCUGGUGUAGCGGUGAAAUGCGCAGAUAUCAGGAAGAACACCAAUGGCGAAAGCAGCUCUCUGGGACGGUACUGACGCUGAGACGCGAAAGCGUGGGGAGCGAACAGG